Molecule: transfer RNA, 71 nt
Organism: Camelus ferus (Wild Bactrian camel)
Lineage: Eukaryota; Metazoa; Chordata; Mammalia; Artiodactyla; Camelidae
Rfam family: tRNA
About the family: Transfer RNA (tRNA) molecules are approximately 80 nucleotides in length. Their secondary structure includes four short double-helical elements and three loops (D, anti-codon, and T loops). Further hydrogen bonds mediate the characteristic L-shaped molecular structure. tRNAs have two regions of fundamental functional importance: the anti-codon, which is responsible for specific mRNA codon recognition, and the 3' end, to which the tRNAs corresponding amino acid is attached (by aminoacyl-tRNA synthetases). tRNAs cope with the degeneracy of the genetic code in two manners: having more than one tRNA (with a specific anti-codon) for a particular amino acid; and 'wobble' base-pairing, i.e. permitting non-standard base-pairing at the 3rd anti-codon position.
Source: Rfam
GGAGGAGGGCUCAGUGGUAGAGCGUGUGCUUAGCAUGCACGACAUCCUGGGUUCAGUCCUUGGUACCUCCA